AGACAUCCAUAUCCUCCAUCCCUAAUAAAAAGUAACCAAAAGAUAGUAACUCACACCACAUCACAAAAUACUCAAUUAGUGUCCAAUAGUUGGAUUUGCAGUUCCAUCAAUGACAUAGCUAUAAUAAUGAAUUGAAAGACCAGCACCAGCCGACCACUCUACAAAUACCGAACACACAUCGUCUCUCUUGGUGCAUACGCAGUUGUGCAGCACCAGCACUCCUCCG
This 226-nucleotide long non-coding RNA is filed under the name Setaria italica (foxtail millet). Its description in RNAcentral is "long non-coding RNA (SITA_LNC006038)". The record is from RNAcentral. Lineage: Eukaryota; Viridiplantae; Streptophyta; Magnoliopsida; Poales; Poaceae.